Molecule: ribosomal RNA, 524 nt
Filed under: uncultured bacterium
Lineage: Bacteria
Description: partial 16S ribosomal RNA
Rfam family: Bacterial small subunit ribosomal RNA
Source: RNAcentral
UGGGGAAUAUUGCACAAUGGGCGCAAGCCUGAUGCAGCCAUGCCGCGUGUGUGAAGAAGGCCUUCGGGUUGUAAAGCACUUUCAGCGAGGAGGAAGGUGGUGAACUUAAUACGUUCAUCAAUUGACGUUACUCGCAGAAGAAGCACCGGCUAACUCCGUGCCAGCAGCCGCGGUAAUACGGAGGGUGCAAGCGUUAAUCGGAAUUACUGGGCGUAAAGCGCACGCAGGCGGUUUGUUAAGUCAGAUGUGAAAUCCCCGGGCUCAACCUGGGAACUGCAUUUGAAACUGGCAAGCUAGAGUCUCGUAGAGGGGGGUAGAAUUCCAGGUGUAGCGGUGAAAUGCGUAGAGAUCUGGAGGAAUACCGGUGGCGAAGGCGGCCCCCCUGGACGAAGACUGACGCUCAGGUGCGAAAGCGUGGGGAGCAAACAGAUUAGAUACCCUGGUAGUCCACGCUGUAAACGAUGUCGAUUUGGAGGUUGUGCCCUUGAGGCGUGGCUUCCGGAGCUAACGCGUUAAAUCGACCG